AGUGAACGCUGGCGGUAGGCCUAACACAUGCAAGUCGAACGGCCGCACAGUAAGAGCUUGCUCUUACGGGUGGCGAGUGGCGGACGGGUGAGGAAUACAUAGGCAUCUACUUUUUCGUGGGGGACAACGUAGGGACACUUACGCUAAUACCGCAUACGAUCUACGGGUGAAAGCAGAGGAUCUUGGGACCUUGCGCGAUUCAAUGAGCCGAUGUCGGAUUAGCUAGUUGGUGGGGUAAAGGCCCACCAAGGCGACGAUCCGUAGCUGGUCUGAGAGGAUGAUCAGCCACACUGGAACUGAGACACGGUCCAGACUCCUACGGGAGGCAGCAGUGGGGAAUAUUGGACAAAGGGCGCAAGCCUGAUCCAGCCAUACCGCGUGGGUGAAGAAGGCCUUCGGGUUGUAAAGCCCUUUUGUUGGGAAAGAAAAGAAGCAUGUUAAUACCCCGCUGUUCUGACGGUACCCAAAGAAUAAGCACCGGCUAACUUCGUG
RNAcentral lists this ribosomal RNA (492 nucleotides) under uncultured bacterium. Its description in RNAcentral is "partial 16S ribosomal RNA". It matches the Rfam family "Bacterial small subunit ribosomal RNA", at positions 29 to 507 of the family's 1533-position model. The record is from RNAcentral.